UAGUAUUACAGCUCUUAUAGAAUUUGUCUACCAGAGUUUCUGGUUUUUGCCAUGAAAGAAAUGUCAUU
Molecule: small nuclear RNA, 68 nt
Organism: Nomascus leucogenys (northern white-cheeked gibbon)
Lineage: Eukaryota; Metazoa; Chordata; Mammalia; Primates; Hylobatidae
Gene: U7
Rfam family: U7 small nuclear RNA
About the family: Animal histone pre-mRNAs are spliced by a different mechanism than nuclear pre-mRNAs and self-splicing introns. This processing involves the U7 snRNP, which contains only one RNA species: U7. The 5' end of U7 RNA is thought to base-pair to a conserved spacer element downstream of the cleavage site in histone pre-mRNA.
Source: Ensembl